CUGCUUGCCUGUACUCCAUCCUGCCACCCUGUGAAGAAGGUUCCUGCUUCUCCUUUACCUUCUGCCAUGACUGUACUAUAGUAGGGACUGGAAAUUCAACGUGAAAAAAAGUUAAAUCUCUGCUGCCUUAAAAUAAUCAGAAUGUAAGGAGAAAAUGUUUUCAGCUGGAACUUAAAUAGACCGGCCACAAAUAACCCGUAAUUCUCUAUAAAUGGACUGUCAUGCUGAGAACAGCUUUAUGCCACGCUGAUCCUAGCUCCACAAGAGCCGGCUAAGCUACACUUACCCAGUAGCAGGUCACACUCCAGAGCCCACUGGAUUCUUGCUGACACAAUAAGUACGCUUCCAGCUGGGGCCAAGAACAAUCUGGACUCAGGCAGAGUGUGAAUUACAGUGAAGAGCUACCACCCUCCUAACCACAGCCAAUCAACAGAAAAUAAACACAGACACUGAAGAGUCCAGACACAUGGAAAGCCCUUUUCAUUAAGAGAAAUGACUUGAAAAGAAAACCAGACAUAUGUCUAAGGAUGUUUUUCAUGAUCUCAUCGAAGCCACUCCAAUGAGGAAAGAAACAGAGAAUGCUGGUCCUUUUUCAUCCAGCAUGAGCAAUAUGAACUUGAAUAAAGGUAAUGUGCCAAGGAUUCAAAUAAACACACUUUCUUGUAUCUGCCCUACAAAUGCAAAGUUCUCUCCAGGCUUUGAACUUAAUCCAGCAGUAGGCAGG
RNAcentral lists this long non-coding RNA (724 nucleotides) under Homo sapiens (human). RNAcentral describes it as "non-protein coding lnc-GPR65-9:10". The record is from RNAcentral. Lineage: Eukaryota; Metazoa; Chordata; Mammalia; Primates; Hominidae.